GACGAACGCUGGCGGCGUGCUUAACACAUGCAAGUCGAACGGAAAGGCCCUGCUUGCCGGGUACUCGAGUGGCGAACGGGUGAGUAACACGUGGGUGAUCUGCCCUGCACUUCGGGAUAAGCCUGGGAAACUGGGUCUAAUACCGGAUAGGAGCCAUUUUUAGUGUGAUGGUUGGAAAGUUUUUUCGGUGUAGGAUGAGCUCGCGGCCUAUCAGCUUGUUGGUGGGGUAAUGGCCUACCAAGGCGGCGACGGGUAGCCGGCCUGAGAGGGUGGACGGCCACAUUGGGACUGAGAUACGGCCCAGACGCCGACGGGAGGCAGCAGGGGGGAAUAUUGCACAAUGGGCGCAAGCCGGAUGCAGCGACGCCGCGUGGGGGAGGACGGCCUUCGGGUUGUAAACUCCUUUCGCUAGGGACGAAGCUUUUUGUGACGGUACCUAGAGAAGAAGCACCGGCUAACUACGUG
Molecule: ribosomal RNA, 465 nt
Filed under: uncultured bacterium
Lineage: Bacteria
Description: partial 16S ribosomal RNA
Rfam family: Bacterial small subunit ribosomal RNA
Source: RNAcentral